AGAGUUUGAUCCUGGCUCAGGAUGAACGCUAGCUACGGGCUUAACACAUGCAAAUCGAAGGGAAACGACAUCGAAAGCUUGCUUUUGAUGGGCGUCGACCGGCGCACGGGUGAGUAACGCGUAUCCAACCUGCCCAUCACUUGGGGAUAACCUUGCGAAAGUAAGACUAAUACCCAAUGAUAUCUCUAGAAGGCAUCUGAAAGAGAUUAAAGAUUUAUCGGUGAUGGAUGGGGAUGCGUCUGAUUAGCUUGUUGGCGGGGUAACGGCCACCAAAGCAACGAUCAGUAGGGGUUCUGAGAGGAAGGUCCCCCACAUUGGAACUGAGACACGGUCCAAACUCCUACGGGAGGCA
This 352-nucleotide ribosomal RNA is filed under the name uncultured bacterium. RNAcentral's name for it is "bacterial SSU rRNA". It matches the Rfam family "Bacterial small subunit ribosomal RNA", at positions 8 to 350 of the family's 1533-position model. The record is from RNAcentral.